UGCCAGACUCCUACGGGAGGCAGCAGUGGGGAAUAUUGCACAAUGGGGGAAACCCUGAUGCAGCGACGCCGCGUGAGCGAUGAAGUAUUUCGGUAUGUAAAGCUCUAUCAGCAGGGAAGAAAAUGACGGUACCUGACUAAGAAGCCCCGGCUAACUACGUGCCAGCAGCCGCGGUAAUACGUAGGGGGCAAGCGUUAUCCGGAUUUACUGGGUGUAAAGGGAGCGUAGACGGCUGUGCAAGCCAGAUGUGAAAGCCCGGGGCUCAACCCCGGGACUGCAUUUGGAACUGUGUGGCUGGAGUGUCGGAGAGGCAGGCGGAAUUCCUAGUGUAGCGGUGAAAUGCGUAGAUAUUAGGAGGAACACCAGUGGCGAAGGCGGCCUGCUGGACGAUGACUGACGUUGAGGCUCGAAAGCGUGGGGAGCAAACAGGAUUAGAUACCCGUGUAA
RNAcentral lists this ribosomal RNA (447 nucleotides) under uncultured bacterium. RNAcentral describes it as "bacterial SSU rRNA". It matches the Rfam family "Bacterial small subunit ribosomal RNA", at positions 329 to 793 of the family's 1533-position model. The record is from RNAcentral.